AGAUACCAUCAACCACACUGAACCCUUAUUUCAUAAUGAAUGACUCCAUAUUACUAUGGAAGACACCAUGUUGGGAUUAGUAACAAGAAAACAUUCUCCAAAAUGCAAGCAUAAACCAGAAAGGACAGACCACUGGUAAUUAUCGAACUUGAA
Molecule: ribosomal RNA, 153 nt
Filed under: Polypedates leucomystax (Java whipping frog)
Lineage: Eukaryota; Metazoa; Chordata; Amphibia; Anura; Rhacophoridae
Description: partial 16S ribosomal RNA
Source: RNAcentral